AGAAAAUCAUCUUUAACGGGGACUGAAUAUCAUCUUCCUUUAACCGAGGCCACAUAUACAGAUGGAGAUGAAUGUCACUGUGAGUCUGCAGAUCUGUCAGG
This is a long non-coding RNA of Danio aesculapii, 101 nucleotides long. RefSeq lists it as uncharacterized. The transcript has 3 exons. The record is from RefSeq and is a predicted model, not a curated record. NCBI's taxonomy places the organism in Eukaryota, Metazoa, Chordata, Actinopteri, Cypriniformes, Danionidae.